AAUUCAUGCUACAUGAUGCAGAAGAAUUUUGUAUCAAGAUAUAAAGAAAAUUAUAUAGUAAUUGACAUUGGCAUAAUAUAUAAGAUUAACUAUCUAAUAGCAGUCAUUCUUCCCCUUGUCAUGGUUUGCUAAGCAUAAGAUCCUUUGAUGGUUUUGAAGUCACGCCGGAUGUCUCUUCUUUUCCCUUCCCUUUGUCUAGGUUUGCUGAGCAUAAAAUCUUUUGAUGAAUGAAAGCUUCCUGCAAAUCAAAGGGGCAUGGGGUUCAUAGAUUGCCUUGGCGAACGCUUUUUGGCACAGCAUGCUGGAGCUUGUGGAAUCGAUGAAACAAUUGUAUUUUCUGGGAUGAUUGGACUCUUUUGUCCAUUCUUCCAUCCAUGAUGUGUACGAAAACCAGAGUGCAUGUUUCUGUGCAGGAAAAGCUCAGUGAAGGUGAUGGCUACGCUGGUCACGGGGAGGAUUGGAUUGCGUAGACACUCCCGCCAGUUGAAUGGUUUAAGUUGAAUUGUUGGUACAUAUAUACAAGGCUAAUGGGGGAGGUAUAAUUCGAGAUAACAAUGGCAAAUGGGUGAGGGGCUUCGUUGCAUUAUAGGGAAAUUUCUGUGCUGGGAUCUGAGCUAUAGGCUGCUUGUGAAGGUAUUCUUCUAGCUUGGAAUGAAGGGAUUCCCCAACUCAUGCUAGAAAGUGAAA
RNAcentral lists this unclassified non-coding RNA (687 nucleotides) under Hevea brasiliensis (rubber tree). Lineage: Eukaryota; Viridiplantae; Streptophyta; Magnoliopsida; Malpighiales; Euphorbiaceae. The record is from RNAcentral.